Molecule: ribosomal RNA, 387 nt
Filed under: uncultured bacterium
Lineage: Bacteria
Description: bacterial SSU rRNA
Rfam family: Bacterial small subunit ribosomal RNA
Source: RNAcentral
AUUGAACGCUGGCGGCAUGCCUUACACAUGCAAGUCGAACGGUAACGGGCCUUCGGGUGCCGACGAGUGGCGAACGGGUGAGUAAUGCAUCGGAACGUACCUUUCAGUGGGGGAUAACGUAGCGAAAGUUACGCUAAUACCGCAUAUUCUGUGAGCAGGAAAGCAGGGGAUCGCAAGACCUUGCGCUGAUUGAGCGGCCGAUGUCAGAUUAGCUAGUUGGUGAGGUAAAGGCUCACCAAGGCGACGAUCUGUAGCGGGUCUGAGAGGAUGAUCCGCCAUACUGGAACUGAGACACGGUCCAGACUCCUACGGGAGGCAGCAGUGGGGAAUUUUGGACAAUGGGGGCAACCCUGAUCCAGCCAUGCCGCGUGAGUGAAGAAGGCCUUC